Molecule: small nucleolar RNA, 77 nt
Organism: Lethenteron reissneri (Far Eastern brook lamprey)
Lineage: Eukaryota; Metazoa; Chordata; Hyperoartia; Petromyzontiformes; Petromyzontidae
Product: small nucleolar RNA SNORD83
Source: RefSeq, a predicted model, not a curated record
GCCACAUGAUGAGAGAGAUGAGUUGCGGAUCGCUGAGCGAAUGUCGACCCAACAUCUAUCACCCCUCUCUGAUGGCU